CCUACGGGAGGUAGCAGUGAGGAAUAUUGGUCAAUGGGCGAGAGCCUGAACCAGCCAAGUCGCGUGAAGGAUGAAGGACCUAUGGUUUGUAAACUUCUUUUAUAUGGGAAUAAAGUGUGGAACGUGUUCCUUUUUGUAUGUACCAUAUGAAUAAGGAUCGGCUAACUCCGUGCCAGCAGCCGCGGUAAUACGGAGGAUGCGAGCGUUAUCCGGAUUUAUUGGGUUUAAAGGGAGCGUAGGUGGUUAGUUAAGUCAGCGGUGAAAGUUUGUGGCUCAACCCUAAAAUUGCAGUUGAAACUGGUUGACUUGAGUAUAGUAGAGGGGGGCGGAAUGCGUGGUGUAGCGGUGAAAUGCAUAGAUAUCACGAAGAACUCCGAUUGCGAAGGCAGCUUACUGGACUAUAACUGACACUGAGGCACGAAAGCGUGGGGAUCAAACAGGAUUAGAUACCCGAGUAGUC
This 460-nucleotide ribosomal RNA is filed under the name uncultured bacterium. Its description in RNAcentral is "partial 16S ribosomal RNA". It matches the Rfam family "Bacterial small subunit ribosomal RNA", at positions 338 to 795 of the family's 1533-position model. The record is from RNAcentral.